UACGUAGGGUGCAAGCGUUGUCCGGAAUCAUUGGGCGUAAAGCGCGCGUAGGUGGCUUUGUAAGUCCGUUGUGAAAGUCAAAGGCUCAACCUUUGAAUGCCGAUGGAUACUGCGGAGCUAGAGUACGGAAGAGGCGAGUGGAAUUCCUGGUGUAGCGGUGGAAUGCGCAGAUAUCAGGAGGAACACCAAUAGCGAAGGCAGCUCGCUGGGACGUUACUGACGCUGAGGAGCGAAAGCGUGGGGAGCGAACAGG
RNAcentral lists this ribosomal RNA (253 nucleotides) under uncultured bacterium. RNAcentral describes it as "partial 16S ribosomal RNA". It matches the Rfam family "Bacterial small subunit ribosomal RNA", at positions 524 to 776 of the family's 1533-position model. The record is from RNAcentral.